This 120-nucleotide ribosomal RNA is filed under the name Penicillium steckii. The record is from RNAcentral. Lineage: Eukaryota; Fungi; Ascomycota; Eurotiomycetes; Eurotiales; Aspergillaceae.
ACAUACGACCAUAGGGUGUGGAGAACAGGGCUUCCCGUCCGCUCAGCCGUACUUAAGCCACACGCCGGCAGGUUAGUAGUAUGGUGGGUGACCACAUGCGAAUCCCUGCUGUUGUAUGUG